RNAcentral lists this ribosomal RNA (459 nucleotides) under uncultured bacterium. RNAcentral's name for it is "partial 16S ribosomal RNA". It matches the Rfam family "Bacterial small subunit ribosomal RNA", at positions 338 to 795 of the family's 1533-position model. The record is from RNAcentral.
CCUACGGGAGGCAGCAGUGAGGAAUAUUGGUCAAUGGUCGGGAGACUGAACCAGCCAAGCCGCGUGAGGGAGGAAGGUACAGAGUAUCGUAAACCUCUUUUGUCAGGGAACAAAGGCGGGGACGUGUCCCCGGCUGAGUGUACCUGAAGAAAAAGCAUCGGCUAACUCCGUGCCAGCAGCCGCGGUAAUACGGAGGAUGCGAGCGUUAUCCGGAUUUAUUGGGUUUAAAGGGUGCGCAGGCGGUCUGUUAAGUCAGCGGUCAAAGCCCGGGGCUCAACCCCGGCCCGCCGUUGAAACUGGCAGUCUCGAGUUGGAGAGAAGUAGGCGGAAUGCGCGGUGUAGCGGUGAAAUGCAUAGAUAUCGCGCAGAACUCCGAUUGCGAAGGCAGCAUGCCGGCUCCACACUGACGCUGAGGCACGAAAGCGUGGGUAUCGAACAGGAUUAGAUACCCCGGUAGUC